RNAcentral lists this ribosomal RNA (496 nucleotides) under uncultured bacterium. RNAcentral's name for it is "partial 16S ribosomal RNA". It matches the Rfam family "Bacterial small subunit ribosomal RNA", at positions 28 to 507 of the family's 1533-position model. The record is from RNAcentral.
GAUGAACGCUGGCGGCGUGCCUAAUACAUGCAAGUCGAGCGAACAGAUGAGGAGCUUGCUCCUCUGACGUUAGCGGCGGACGGGUGAGUAACACGUGGAUAACCUACCUAUAAGACUGGGAUAACUUCGGGAAACCGGAGCUAAUACCGGAUAAUAUAUUGAACCGCAUGGUUCAAUAGUGAAAGACGGUUUUGCUGUCACUUAUAGAUGGAUCCGCGCCGCAUUAGCUAGUUGGUAAGGUAACGGCUUACCAAGGCAACGAUGCGUAGCCGACCUGAGAGGGUGAUCGGCCACACUGGAGCUGGGACACGGUCCAGACUCCUACGGGAGGCAGCAGUAGGGAAUCUUCCGCAAUGGGCGAAAGCCUGACGGAGCAACGCCGCGGGAGUGAUGAAGGUCUUCGGAUCGUAAAACUCUGUUAUUAGGGAAGAACAAAUGUGUAAGUAACUAUGCACGUUUGACGGUACCUAAUCAGAAAGCCACGGCUAACUACGUG